GGGGGCGUAGCUCAGCGGGUGAGAGCGCCGACCUGAUGAGUCGGAGGCCGGACGUUCAAGUCGUUCCGUCCCCA
Molecule: transfer RNA, 74 nt
Filed under: Yimella lutea
Lineage: Bacteria; Bacillati; Actinomycetota; Actinomycetes; Micrococcales; Dermacoccaceae
Description: tRNA-Ile
Rfam family: tRNA
About the family: Transfer RNA (tRNA) molecules are approximately 80 nucleotides in length. Their secondary structure includes four short double-helical elements and three loops (D, anti-codon, and T loops).
Source: RNAcentral